GAAAUGCCAUUAUAGCAACAAUAAAGGGUUUUAACAAAAAACCAAUAAGGCAAGGACCAAUGGGAAAAAGCAACAUCAAAAUUUUGGAAACUGGAAAGCAGAUAGACAAGCCGAGGACUGAGAAAGUUGAGUUAUAAGCCCACGGAGGGUAAAUUCAAGAACCAACCCAGUUUAUACUAAAGAACCCCCGAGUCACUCAGCAAUUGCUGUCCAGGAUCUCUGGAAGUAAAGCAGCAACAAAAACCAGUACAGGGGUAUUUAGAGAAACAGAAAUUAUCCAGAAAGAAGAAAAUCUCUUUUUUAAAAAGUAUUAGUUCCCUCAAAGGGAUGAAGUAUUGCAAACAUGAAAUAGGAACAGGAUUCUAUUUUAAGAAAAGCGACAUUCUGAAACCAAAAAAGUGCUCAUAAAGUUAAAAAUACGAUAUGAAAAAAAUUAAAGUCAGCAGCAGGCUUGGAAGCUAUAGAUGAGGAAAUCUCCCAGAAAGUAGAUCAAAAAGACAAAGAUAUAGAUAAUAGGAAAGAAAAGAUAAAAAACAAAACAAAACAAAACAAAAAAAACUAGAGAAACCAUCCAGAAGAUGCCAUCCAAAUAAGAGGAGUUCCAGAGAGAACAGAGAAACACAGGGGAGUACAUCAGCAACAAAACAACAAUAAAACAUGUCCCUAAGAGAGUGACAAGAAUUGCCAGAUUGAAAAGGCCCAUGAGUACCAAGUGAGACGGACAAAAAUAGACCCAUGCUGAAACAUAUCAUCGUGAAAUUUCGGAACACUAGGAGCAAAGAGAAGAUUUUAAAAAAUAAUUUCUGAUCAUUUUUAGACUACCUAAUCUGUCCAUUCCUUGGAGGAAUACAAUAAAAGAUUCAACUGGGAAUAAUGAA
Homo sapiens (human) is the source of this 878-nucleotide long non-coding RNA. RefSeq lists it as uncharacterized. The record is from RefSeq and is a predicted model, not a curated record. The transcript has 2 exons. NCBI's taxonomy places the organism in Eukaryota, Metazoa, Chordata, Mammalia, Primates, Hominidae.